RNAcentral lists this ribosomal RNA (254 nucleotides) under uncultured bacterium. RNAcentral describes it as "partial 16S ribosomal RNA". It matches the Rfam family "Bacterial small subunit ribosomal RNA", at positions 524 to 777 of the family's 1533-position model. The record is from RNAcentral.
UACGUAGGUGGCAAGCGUUGUCCGGAUUUACUGGGCGUAAAGCGCACGUAGGCGGCUUUCUAAGUCGGGGGUGAAAUCCUGGAGCUCAACUCCAGAACUGCCUUCGAUACUGGAGAGCUCGAGUCCGGGAGAGGUGAGUGGAACUGCGAGUGUAGAGGUGAAAUUCGUAGAUAUUCGCAAGAACACCAGUGGCGAAGGCGGCUCACUGGCCCGGUACUGACGCUGAGGUGCGAAAGCGUGGGGAGCAAACAGGG